RNAcentral lists this ribosomal RNA (492 nucleotides) under uncultured bacterium. Its description in RNAcentral is "partial 16S ribosomal RNA". It matches the Rfam family "Bacterial small subunit ribosomal RNA", at positions 29 to 507 of the family's 1533-position model. The record is from RNAcentral.
AGUGAACGCUGGCGGUAGGCCUAACACAUGCAAGUCGAACGGCAGCACAGUAAGAGCUUGCUCUUACGGGUGGCGAGUGGCGGACGGGUGAGGAAUACAUCGGAAUCUACUUUUUCGUGGGGGAUAACGUAGGGAAACUUACGCUAAUACCGCAUACGACGUACGGGUGAAAGCAGGGGAUCUUCGGACCUUGCGCGACUGAAUGAGCCGAUGUCGGAUUAGCUAGUUGGCGGGGUAAAGGCCCACCAAGGCGACGAUCCGUAGCUGGUCUGAGAGGAUGAUCAGCCACACUGGAACUUGGACACGGUCCAGACCCCUACCGGAGGCAGCAGGGGGGAAUAUUGGACAAUUGGCCCAAACCUGAUCCAGCCAUACCCCGUGGGUUAAGAAGGCCUUCCGGUUCGUAAGACCUUUUUAUGGGAAAGAAAAGCAUCAGGUUAAUACCCCGCUGGUCUGACGGUACCCAAAGAAUAAGCACCGGCUUACUUCGUU